GGUUAAGUGACUAAGCGUACACGGUGGAUGCCUAGGCAGUCAGAGGCGAUGAAGGGCGUGCUAAUCUGCGAAAAGCGUCGGUAAGGUGAUAUGAACCGUUAUAACCGGCGAUACCCGAAUGGGGAAACCCAGUGUGUUUCGACACACUAUCAUGUCAUGAAUACAUAGUGGCAUGAGGCGAACCGGGGGAACUGAAACAUCUAAGUACCCCGAGGAAAAGAAAUCAACCGAGAUUCCCCCAGUAGCGGCGAGCGAACGGGGAGGAGCCCAGAACCUGAAUCGGCUUGUGUGUUAGUGGAAGCGUCUGGAAAGUCGCGCAGCAAAGGGUGAUAGCCCCGUACACUAAAAUGCACAGGUCGUGAGUUCGAUGAGUAGGGCGGGACACGUGACAUCCUGUCUGAAUAUGGGGGGACCAUCCUCCAAGGCUAAAUACUCCUGACUGACCGAUAGUGAACCAGUACCGUGAGGGAAAGGCGAAAAGAACCCCGGCGAGGGGAGUGAAAUAGAACCUGAAACCGUGUACGUACAAGCAGUGGGAGCACCUUCGUGGUGUGACUGCGUACCUUUUGUAUAAUGGGUCAGCGACUUAUAUUUUGUAGCAAGGUUAACCGUAUAGGGGAGCCGUAGGGAAACCGAGUCUUAACUGGGCGAAUAGUUGCAAGGUAUAGACCCGAAACCCGGUGAUCUAGCCAUGGGCAGGUUGAAGGUUGGGUAACACUAACUGGAGGACCGAACCGACUAAUGUUGAAAAAUUAGCGGAUGACUUGUGGCUGGGGGUGAAAGGCCAAUCAAACCGGGAGAUAGCUGGUUCUCCCCGAAAGCUAUUUAGGUAGCGCCUCGUGAACUCAUCUUCGGGGGUAGAGCACUGUUUCGGCUAGGGGGCCAUCCCGGCUUACCAAACCGAUGCAAACUCCGAAUACCGAAGAAUGUUAUCACGGGAGACACACGGCGGGUGCUAACGUCCGUCGUGAAGAGGGAAACAACCCAGACCGCCAGCUAAGGUCCCAAAGUCAUGGUUAAGUGGGAAACGAUGUGGGAAGGCAUAGACAGCCAGGAUGUUGGCUUAGAAGCAGCCAUCAUUUAAAGAAAGCGUAAUAGCUCACUGGUCGAGUCGGCCUGCGCGGAAGAUGUAACGGGGCUAAACCAUGCACCGAAGCUGCGGCAGCGACGCUUAGGCGUUGUUGGGUAGGGGAGCGUUCUGUAAGCCGUUGAAGGUGGCCUGUGAGGGUUGCUGGAGGUAUCAGAAGUGCGAAUGCUGACAUAAGUAACGAUAAAGCGGGUGAAAAGCCCGCUCGCCGGAAGACCAAGGGUUCCUGUCCAACGUUAAUCGGGGCAGGGUGAGUCGACCCCUAAGGCGAGGCUGAAAAGCGUAGUCGAUGGGAAACAGGUUAAUAUUCCUGUACUUGGUGUUACUGCGAAGGGGGGACGGAGAAGGCUAGGCUAGCCGGGCGACGGUUGUCCCGGUUUAAGCGUGUAGGGGGUGUGACCUGGUAAAUCCGGUUGCAUGCUAACCCUGAGGCGUGAUGACGAUGCACUACGGUGCAGAAGUAGUUGAUGCCCUGCUUCCAGGAAAAUCCUCUAAGCUCCAGGUAACAUUAAAUCGUACCCCAAACCGACACAGGUGGUCAGGUAGAGAAUACCAAGGCGCUUGAGAGAACUCGGGUGAAGGAACUAGGCAAAAUGGUGCCGUAACUUCGGGAGAAGGCACGCUGGCAUGUAGGUGAAGUCCCUCGCGGAUGGAGCUGAAGCCAGUCGAAGAUACCAGCUGGCUGCAACUGUUUAAUAAAAACACAGCACUGUGCAAACACGAAAGUGGACGUAUACGGUGUGACGCCUGCCCGGUGCUGGAAGGUUAAUUGAUGGGGUCAGCCGCAAGGCGAAGCUCUUGAUCGAAGCCCCAGUAAACGGCGGCCGUAACUAUAACGGUCCUAAGGUAGCGAAAUUCCUUGUCGGGUAAGUUCCGACCUGCACGAAUGGCGUAAUGAUGGCCAGGCUGUCUCCACCCGAGACUCAGUGAAAUUGAACUCGCUGUGAAGAUGCAGUGUACCCGCGGCAAGACGGAAAGACCCCGUGAACCUUUACUAUAGCUUGACACUGAACAUUGAGCCUUGAUGUGUAGGAUAGGUGGGAGGCUUUGAAGCGUGGACGCCAGUCUGCGUGGAGCCAUCCUUGAAAUACCACCCUUUAAUGUUUGAUGUUCUAACUCGGCCCCGUGAUCCGGGGUGAGGACAGUGUCUGGUGGGUAGUUUGACUGGGGCGGUCUCCUCCCAAAGAGUAACGGAGGAGCACGAAGGUUAGCUAAUCACGGUCGGACAUCGUGAGGUUAGUGCAAAGGCAUAAGCUAGCUUGACUGCGAGAGUGACGGCUCGAGCAGGUACGAAAGUAGGUCUUAGUGAUCCGGUGGUUCUGAAUGGAAGGGCCAUCGCUCAACGGAUAAAAGGUACUCCGGGGAUAACAGGCUGAUACCGCCCAAGAGUUCAUAUCGACGGCGGUGUUUGGCACCUCGAUGUCGGCUCAUCACAUCCUGGGGCUGAAGUAGGUCCCAAGGGUAUGGCUGUUCGCCAUUUAAAGUGGUACGCGAGCUGGGUUUAGAACGUCGUGAGACAGUUCGGUCCCUAUCUGCCGUGGGCGUUGGAAGAUUGAGAGGGGUUGCUCCUAGUACGAGAGGACCGGAGUGAACGCACCACUGGUGUUCGGGUUGUCAUGCCAAUGGCAUUGCCCGGUAGCUAAGUGCGGAAAAGAUAAGCGCUGAAAGCAUCUAAGCGCGAAACUUGCCUCAAGAUGAGUCUUCCCUGGGCCUUUAAGGCCCCUGAAGGAACGUUUAAGACUAAGACGUUGAUAGGCUGGGUGUGUAAGUGCAGCGAUGCAUUGAGCUAACCAGUACUAAUGAUCCGUGAGGCUUAACCUU
RNAcentral lists this ribosomal RNA (2908 nucleotides) under Serratia marcescens. RNAcentral describes it as "23S ribosomal RNA". It matches the Rfam family "Bacterial large subunit ribosomal RNA". Lineage: Bacteria; Pseudomonadati; Pseudomonadota; Gammaproteobacteria; Enterobacterales; Yersiniaceae. The record is from RNAcentral.